This 14807-nucleotide long non-coding RNA is filed under the name Citrus sinensis (sweet orange). Its description in RNAcentral is "long non-coding RNA (CSIN_LNC002327)". The record is from RNAcentral. Lineage: Eukaryota; Viridiplantae; Streptophyta; Magnoliopsida; Sapindales; Rutaceae.
AGCAGAAGCCUGAGGUGGAACUUGAAUUGAAGACCAAAUCAGUGGAGAAAGAAAAGCAAAAACACAAGGAGGACAAACAUGAAGAGAAGGAUGACAAGAAAUCGAAGAAAAAGGAGAAAGAGAAGAAGGUUGAUGAUGAAGAUGGAAAGAAGAAAGAGAAAAAGGACAAAGAAAAAGAGGAGAAGAAGAAGAACAAAGAUGAAGAUUUAGAUGAAGGAAAAAAGAAAGACAAGAAAGAGAAUAAGAAAAAAGACAAGGACAAAGAAGAGAAGAUAAAGAGCAGUACCGAGAAGAAAGAUAAGAAACACAAGGACAAAGCGGACGAGGACAGAGAAUGUGAUCGUGAAGAUGACGAGCAAGAAGAGAAAAAGGAAAGGAAGAAGGAUAAGGAGAUGAAAGAGAAGAAGAACAAAGAUGAAGAAGGUGAGGAAGAGGAAGAAAAGAAGAAGAAAAAGAUUAAAGAUGAGGAGAAAGAAGUGAAGAAGAUGAAAGGUAAGGAGAAGAAAGAUAGCAAGAAGCAGGACGAAGAAGAUGAAGAGGAGGAAGAAAAAAAGAAGAAAGAAAAGAAGCACAAAUAUGAAUUAGUGAAGGAUAAAGACAGUGAUGGGGAAAAGGGUGAGGUAGUAGUAACCACCAGGGAGAUUCAAAUAGAAGAAAGUGGGAAGGAAUCACAAGGUGAAGGACAAGACCAGCAGAAAGAUGAAGGCAAAGAGAAGAAAAAAGAAAAGGACAAGAAGGACGGCAAGAAGAGAAAACUAGAUGGAAAGGGUAAGAGCAAGGAUAUUGGCAAGCUAAAACAGAAGUUGGAGAAUGUUAAUGCCAAAAUAGAGGCUCUCAUCGAGAAAAAGGCAGAUAUUAUGAGGCAAAUUCAAGAAGCUGAACGCGAGAGCAGUGGCACAACCGAGAAGGAGACAGAUAAAGCUAGCUGAUUAUCAUAGCACUGUUGUAGGUGUGUUGCACUUAAGCUACUGUUGUAAUAAAAUAACAUGUUCAUGUGUCUCCCACAUAUGACUGAAUAAACCUCAGAACUCGAUAUGACGAAUAAAAAAAGCCUAUAUCUAUUUCGACGAUAAAUAAAAGUUGCUUGGCUUCCUUAUCACGGUAACAAUAUUAUUUAGUUGUAUGUUUAUCAUAUAAUUUUUGCAUUCCUAUCUGCUCUUUCCUUUCACUUUUUGAUGAAAUUAAAUCUUAGGUGCAUUGCCAACUGGAAGUAAACCUGAUAGGUAGAAUCAGUAAUGUCUCUGUAGAAGCUAGAUGUUGAAUGAUUAAGGUUCUAUUUGACGCAUCACCUGUGAAUAUUUGCUAUUGUUUAUCCAAAAACAAUAGUUUCACUAAAAUUGACAAGUUCAAACACACUCCAGCAUUUGAAUCAGCAAUUUUAGUGAAACUAUUGUUUCAAUUAUGAAUUAUGCAUCAGGCAAUGGGUAUAUGUGAAAUCCAUGGCCCUUAUGUUUAUAACAUGCGCAUACAAUAGCAGUUACAUUAUAAUUUGAUUUGAAGUUGGCCUUAUACAAUCACAUGUAGCCAGACUUAUUUACAAUCAGUAUAACGAAAAUCUUCUGCGUAACACUCUAGCAAGAAUUCUUGUAAUCACUCCAUCUAAUUUCUUUUUUAUUCUAUUAAUCACUAUAAAUACCAAUUUGAGGAAGUUUCUUAUAACAAGCAUGAAAAAACUAGCUUGUCUGUCUAGACUUGGUAGUGAGGCCAAAUCCAAAUGGGAAGAGAGGAUCAUAAUGUGGAUCUCCAACAUUCAUUGGCAGCUGAUCAACAGUCUUGAACCAUGUACGCGGAAGCUUGCCAGUGAAAUCGUAGUCACCAAACAGAACAUCAGCAACACCUUGACCCUCAGUUCCAGGGAGCCAAGCUGCAACAAGAGCAUCAAUGUAUGAAAGAUACGGUUGGAUCACAACAGGACGGCCAGAGAUUACGACAACAACACAUUCCACAGCUCCACAAACGUUUGUGAUGGUGUUAGGACCAGGGUCGGCAAUAUUCAGGUUCAUGCUGUCGCCGUUUGUCUCUGCAUAUGGGUGCUCUCCAACUACCACAAUGGCAUAUGAGAAGUUGUUGGACUUCACAAAGUUGGCAUCUGGAUUCUCCUGAUAGACAACUUCAGUUUGUUGAUCAACAGUAUUUUUAAUGGCAUUGAGUAUUGUAGUACCUGCGCAUUAGACGGACCAUGUUAGUUGGUCUUACCCAUAAUAACUUGUUGUAUAAAAGUUCUUAUCAGCAACAUUAGCCAUCUAUUUUACCUCUAGUGAGGUCGUUGCCACUAAGUCCCUGCCACUCAAUUGUCCAGCCACCACACUGAUAACCCAGAUUGUCAGCAUGGCUGCCAGCAACUAGUAUCUUUGAUGUUUUUUUAGGAAGGGGUAGUAUCUUUGAUGUCUUUUUAGGAAGAGGUAGUAAUGGAACCUCAGUUGAAUCACCAUUCUUUAGCAGCACAAGUGAUUUUCUUACAGCUUCCCUAGCCAGUUCUCUAUGCUCCUGCUUCGGUAACAGGAUGAAUGAGAAUACUUUUGAGACCCGUGCAACAUAGAGGUAAAAUAGUAGUUUAGUAACUAACCUGACUUCCCAGCUGAUCAACCAGGCUAUCAUCAGCCAAUGGAUUCUCGAAUAAACCCAUCACAAAUUUGACUCGCAAAAUUCUUCUCACUGCAUCAUCAAUUCUGCUCAUAGGUAUGAUGUUAUUCUUCACUUGGAAGGUCAGAUCAUCUAUGAAUUCUAUAUAGUUAUAGGGGACCAUGACCUGGAGCACGUUCAAAACAAAGAAUUAAAAUAGACUUGAUGAAAAUUUAUAAAAGUUUUGUUAUAGCACCUAAGCAAAGCCUAUGAACUGACCAUGUCAAUGCCAGCCUUGAUUCCUACUUCAACGGAAUAUGAGUAGUUAGCAUGAGGUGGAGAUGUGAUCCUGUCCAGACCUUCCCAAUCUGUGAUGACAAAACCCUGAAGAAAAUUUUCCGCAGUCAGUCAUCAAUUCAGUUGCUUCCUUUUCAAGUAAAAUAAAAAUACAGAGAUGUCCAUAGGAUGUGUCAAAAGAACGAAUUUUUUACCCUAAAUUGAAGAGUAUUUUUCAGAAAACCAGUGACAAGUUCCUGAUUAGCAUGCAUCUUAAUUCCAUUCCAGCUAGAGUAGGAGACCAUGACAGUUGAGACACCCUUGAUAAUUGAGUUGUAGUAUGCAGGCAUGUGUAUUGCGAGCAAACCGUGUCUGUCUAUGAUAGUGUUGUUCUCAUUUACUCCAUUUAUUGUCCCACCAUCACCUACAAAGUGCUUAGCACAAGCUGCAACCUUUGUUCUGUUGCAAAACAAUCAAAUCAUCAUUUCGUUAUGCGCAUUCUAUAUGAAUCUCUUUGAUCGUAUCUGUCAUUUGAGAAAGGAAGAAGAUAAAUAAUAUGCAAUAAACAUCUGCAAAUUAGAGAUGGUGCUUCUAAAUAUCUUACUUUCCAGCAACAUAGGGGACACCCUUUGGGGACCCAGCAGGAAUGUCCCCCUGGAGUCCAGGUAUAAGCUCAGUCAUCGCCUGGACGAUCUUGGGGUCUUCGCUGUAGCUUUCAUAGCAUCGACCCCAUCUUGGAUCCCUGCAGACCUGAACAAACAAAACAAAUAUAAGGAAUCGCCAUUUGCACAGAUGGAUUUUCAUUUUCUUUUAUGUAAAUCAGUAUUUAAAAUCUGAUAGGUACCGCAAUACAAGGUGCAAAAGUAUAUGGAAUGCCUGUAGCUCGAACUUCAAGUGCAGUUGCAGCUCCAAUCCUUUUAACAAGAUCGGGGUCCCUGGAUGAAUCAACAGAAUGUUAACUCAUGUCGGAUUUACAAAACCAAGUUUAAAGAGAACAAUAUCAUCCACAGAGCUACAUCCACUUGCCUUGUAGCUCCAAGGCCUAUAUUGUGAGGAAAAAUUGUAGCGUUGUAAACAUUGUUAUGACCAUGAACAGCAUCAAUCCCAUAAAUCAUUGGAAUCCCAAGUCGCGUGGAUAAAGCACCCUUCUGAAAAUCAUUGAUUAUGUUAAUCCAAGCCUCAGCAGAAGCCUGUCUUGCCGGAGCACUCCCUCCUCCAGUCAAAACACUCCCUGCCGAAAACUUAAAAUUCUUUAAAAACUUCUUUAGACAUAUUUCAUCAAUCAUCAAUCUGUUAGCGUUGCUUGCUUACCUAUGAAGUAUUUCUUCAUCACCUCAGCUGAAGCAACACCACGUUCAAUCUGUGUCAUUUGGCCUAUCUUUUCCUCCAAAGUCAUCCUGCUAACCAGAUCGUUCACUCGGACAUGUAAUGGCUGCUUGGGAUCUUUAUAUUUCAGGUAUUCUGCUUCUGCCAAGCAACACAAGAGCAGAAGCCCCAUCAAGGAGAUGAGAGUUCUAGCCAUAUUUUCGUAAACCAACCUUCAAAGCUGAAAAAAACCGGAAAUGUCCAUUAAAUUCCCAUUUGAGACAAGACAAAAAAAAAAUGUAAAAUUUGUUCUCUACAUUGAAGACUAAUUAAUUAUAAGUGAUUGAAAUAAAAAAACAAAGAGACUGGCUAAUUAACAAAUGAAGACAGAAUAUUAUGAGGAACAUAAGAAUAUAUGAAUGGGCGCAUACACAAACACAGAAACCAUAAAACGUAAAAUUGAAAAUUCAAAGCUGUGUACAUCCAAACAAAAGUGAAAGAAUAUCUUUUAGGUGACCAUUGCAUUUGGCUUUCGUAAUAAUGAAGCUUGAUUGUUAUUAUUCUUAUCAUUAUUAUAAUUAUUUAAACAAAAAAGAGUCAUAGGGGACUCAUAUGAAUGAACCGCGUCAGUCUUUAAGCAACAGAGGUUUCUUGUUUUCCUACAUUUUCUCAGAAAACAAACAGAGGAUUAACUGAAAGCAGCAGUGCAUACACAGAAAGUUCAAGAAAAAUGCGAGAAAUGAAAAGAAAGAUUACAACUUACAUUGAAAUAAAUAUACCCAAAAGAUUAGUCUGUUUGUUAUGUCUCAGUUUCACAAAUGGGGACUCAAAAAAAUUGUCUCCUUGAAAUGGGAAGCAGCAGUUUGUACGACAAUGCUGCAGAGCUUGAGCUGGUAUUUAUAGAAACUUGCUCCUUAAUUUACUUUUCUAAAACAACAUGGUUGUUACGUGGAAGGAUGAAAUUCAGUUGUGGUAGUGUACACUAACGGUCAACAAAUAUAUAUCUAGACAAUAAAAUGAUCCAAUUCUUCCGAGGUAAUAGGUUGUUCAAACUUCCUCUUGCAUAGAUAAAGAAAGAAUCUUGAAUCUAACUUAAAUUCAAUUCUUAAUUUCAAUAUUACAGUGUAAUUUUAUUGAUAUUACAAUUAAAAGUCCAUCACUGAUCAGGCUUGAUCCCCACAAUGACAAAAAAAUAUUUGAAAAUAACCCUUGAUGAGCACAACAAUGACGAAUAAAGUAACUGGAAAAACUGUCCCAAAAUCACAGGAAACUACUCGAAAUAUGAUGAAAAAAAAUAAAAAGAAUGCAUUCACAUUUUGAUGAUUGAACCUGAAGAAAAGAACGUGAUUGAAUUCAGGGUAAUUCACGCAAGCCCGACUGGAGUGGAUAGGGUUUAUUACAAUUCAAAGUUGGAUAAGAUACACAAAUUCUACAACUGCAACAAAACAAUAAUCAAACUCACGUCAUCGUGCUAUGUCGAGUUUCAACUGAAUUUAUUGAUUUUAUCCGCACAAACAUCUUUUUUCAACUCGGUCGGUUUGAUUUGUUUUCCUUAAAAUCUUUCAAAAUAAUCGCCUGUCAGUUUUUCUUGAGCAUUUCUUACAAGCCAAGAUAUAAGAUCGCUGUGACAAGUACAUUUUUUUCUGAUGAUAAUUUGAUUAAUUAAAAAUUAAAAAAUUGGCAACUUGUGCGUUGGGUACUUUUUUUUUUCGUUUUUAAAUAAAGGUAGUUGUUUUAAACACGUCCGUUAAGUGAACUGCUCUUCCAAUACUACCUGUCAAACGAAAUAAUGGUCUGCUUAUUGCUUGCUUGUUGCCUGGCUAGCUUUCACCAAAUCGAUAUUAUUAUAUACGCCCAAUUACUUCUGUUAAAAAUAAUCAAAAGGCAUAGUUUGUCCAGCUUAGCAUUGCAUAUUUGCAUUAAUUAUAAAUCAAUUAGAAGUUGACGUAUGAAUUAUUUUAUCAUCUCUUGUCCGAAUUGAACACCCAAUUUAGUGUAAAACGCCAUUUUGGUUCUUAAGGUUUAAUUCUUCUUUAGUAUGAUUUAUUUAAUGAUCAUAAAUACUUAUUUAAUCUUAUAAAUUCUUAUCAUAAUUUUGGUCGUUAUUUGGUUGUUUUCCUAAUAGAGUUUUUUAAGUUUAAAUAAGCUAUUUUGCCUCUACUAACAAAAUCUCAAAUUUUAAAUUUUUGCGAGUAAAAAUUAAAAAGUUUUUUUUAAAUAUUAAAAUAUCAUCUACUUAUUUGACAAUCUUAUUUUAUUUUUUUUAUAACAUAACUUUAAAAAACUUGUUUAUUAAAGUAAUUUCAUAAAUUUUUAAUAAAAGUUCUUACUAACAACCAAACAACUAAAUUUUUUUUGGUAAAAACUCCAUGUGUAAAAAUCUACUAACAAAAGUUUUAUUUAAAUAAGAUUUACUUGAAAAAUUGUAUCAAAUGGAGCAUUUGUCUAAUUACUUUACCUAAAAUAUCUAUACUUCACAACUUUUAUAGAUGUUAAAUCUGACUUUUUUAAGGAUAUAAUAAAAGAAUUUUUUUUAUUUAAAUUAAAAUUCGAACAGAUGUGACAACCAAUAAGUAAAAAGUAGAUAAGAAUCAAAUAGAUUUCCACAGAGUAUUUUGAGUAAUUUUGAAAAUACCAAAAUUAAUUAAGUAAUUAACUCAAACCUUUGGGACCAGAGAAGCAUAUCCUCAUCCAACAUUUUUUUGUUAUUAUAAUUUAAUACAUCACGUACCAAUUUGGAAAUCAAAUUGGAUAAUGUCGUCGAGUUAAUAAUAUUCUGUUCUAUAUGAAAUACACACGUACGUACAAUGAUCUUGUAUAUGAGAUACAUGCACAAUUAAUGAUCUUGUAGCUUUUGUUGAUAUAGAUGACACGAUGGACCGACGUGGCUAAUAAUCUUAAGAUUAUGGUUAAUUAAUAAAAGUGUCAAUACCCAGAAUUACUUAUCCAUUACAAAAGAAUACAAUUCUAACUCUACUUGUGUUCAGUUGAAUUAUACACAAUGCAAAUAUUCAACAUAAGGCGUGAUGAUGAAGAGAUGUGAAGCCCCGAAGUGUCUCAUACGAUUUAAUUCUUUCAAAGACUGCCCAUUAAGAUUAUGUAAUAAUACGUGCAAUAUAUUUUGUGCCUAAAACACAGAUUAUAUAUGCAUUGAUUGUUUAAGAUGGAAGCAGUUUAGACCACGUUAUAUAAGUGUUAUAUGCAUGUACACAUAUUUUAGGUCGUCAAUCACUUUCUAUAUCUAUACUCUAAUUAGAGACGUAAAAUGGAUGGUAUAAAAUACGUUAAUGCUAAUCUUUUCUUUAUCAUAUUGGAUUCUUCUUAUAUUGAUUAAUUAUAUUGGGGUCUUUAUUAAUUAUUGUUUGUUUGUUUGUUUGCUUAUUUUUGACUUAUCCGUUGCUUGUUGCAAAGGUAAGUUUGGUUUGAUGCAUGCUAGACGACGAAGACGUCACCUAUAUAUCCAAUCCACGAAUGAGUUUUAAAGAUUAAUACGUUAAAAGGAAAAAAAUGACCUUUUGGCAAGCAUCGAGCCCUUGUUGCAGUCACAUGUGAAUAAUGUGUGCUCCCCAUGAAUAUUUGAAAUUUGUUUUGUUUAGUUCGCGUGUUGACUGAUUCAAAUGCUUUGUACAAUUUUGAGUUAAAAGAAUUUAAGAAUCAAAUUAGACCAGAAUUUAGUUUCUAUCUAUUAUUUAUAAAGGAUUCAGUAUAAUUUUAUAUUGUGUCUUAUGGACCCAUUUAAAUUUUUCCAAAAAAAAAUGAAGAUAUAUAAUAUAAGAAGAUAAUGAAUGAUGAUGAUGAUGAUGAUGAUGAUAAUAUCUCUGUUUUUUAAGAUAUUGUUGAGUAAUGAAAAACUAUAAAUUAAUUUUAUUUACAUAUAAAAAAAAUAUAAGACGUGUGAAGAUCCUGAUAAGCUGAUAACAGAAGCUUUACAGAAUACUCCCCCAAAGAUCUUGAAUUAGAAUCAACAAGAUGCCUCACAAAUCAAUUAGAAAGCUUAACGAAAUAAUGUUCAAUUAACUAAGACUAAGAUUGUGUUUAGAAACAAACAAAGAAUUGAAUCGAAAUACAAGAAAUCACAGAACACAGCUAGCUAACGUAGUUCAGUCAAUUUGCAUUGACUUACAUCCACGGGGGAACAAACGCAUCAACUUUAUUGAUAUUGCUCAAGUCUUGAUUACAGAGAUUACCAAGCACUCAAUAAGAACAAGAAAACUAUCCUCUAUAUCAAGCUUUCUUUCUCUCGUUAUAAUGCUCUCAGUCUCUCGUCAACUCUCUCUUUCUCUCAACUGUGUACAACAGCUUAUAAACCACCUCAGAGGCAUUUCCAGAAACACACGUGAUGAUCAUGUGGAAUAACGGCUUCUUUAACAACCUUCUUGUUUGCACGUGUUCUGCUUGUGCUUCAUUAACUCCAAAACAACAAGAUUGUUGGUCGUUCUAACAAGCACUUGAUUUACUUAUUAAAACGCAGUCUUCGUAUGUCGUUUUGCUUAAGUUAUAGUGCAUCACAAAACGCGAGUCAGCACUGCCGUUUCAUCCUCUUUGAUUUGAUUCACUGAAUACACAACAAAACUCCACCUUGAAGCAAAUCAUCCCUGAUAAACUUUCUCCUCAUUAUCGUGUGCAUUUCUCAGGAGCUGCACACUCCAGUCAAAUCCAAACAGAGAUUGAAUUUAGCUGUAGGUACCACAUUUGUAAGCAUGUCAGCUGGGUUACUGUCACUGUGAACUUUAACCAUUUUGAUGACUCCUUUAGACACUUCAUUCCUGAUAAAGUGUAGCUUCACAUCAAUAUGUUUGGUUCUUUCAUGGUGUGCUGGAUUUCUUGCUCAGAUAGAUUGCACUCGAGCUGUCACAAUGGAUAUCAACAGACUGUUGCUUCUUGCCCAAUUCAGCUAACAUACCCUUAAGCCACAAUGCUUUUUUAACAGCCUCUGUAGCUGCAGUGUAUUCAGCUUCUGUAGUUGACAAAGCUACAAUAUGUUGAAGGUUUGCUUUCCAGUUGAUUAGACAGCCAUUUAACAUGAACAUAUAACCUGUUAAAGAUCUUCUUCUGUCAUUAUCCCCUGCAAAGUCUGAGUCUACAUAUCCACAUAGUCCAUCAUUUUCUCUCCCUGAUCUCCCAUAUUGCAGUCCAAUCCCCAAGGUACCCUUUAAGUAUCUUAGGAUCCAUUAUAUUGUUUGUUUGUUUUUUACUUAUCCGUUGCUUGUUACAAAGGUAAGUUUGGUUUGAUGCAUGCUAGACGAAGGAAGACGUCACCUAUAUAUCCAAUCCACGAAUGAGUUUUAAAGAUUAAUACGUUAAAAGGAAAAAAUUGACCUUUUGGCAAGCAUCGAGCCCUUGUUGCAGUCACAUGUGAAUAAUGUGUGCUCCCCAUGAAUAUUUGAAAUUUGUUUUGUUUAGUUCGCGUGUUGACUGAUUCAAAUGCUUUGUACAAUUUUGAGUUAAAAGAAUUUAAAAAUCAAAUUAGACCAGAAUUUAGUUUAGUUUCUAUCUAUUAUUUAUAAAGGAUUCAGUAUAAUUUUAUAUUGUGUCUUAUGGACCCAUUUAAAAUUUUCCGAAAAAAAUGAAGAUAUAUAAUAUAAGAAGAUAAUGAAUGAUGAUGAUGAUGAUGAUGAUAUCUCUGUUUUUUAAGAUAUUGUUGAAUAAUGAAAAACUAUAAAUUAAUUUUAUUUAUAUAUAAAAAAUAUAUAAGACGUGGAUAGGACUGCUACUAAGUAAAUCUAGCUAACUAAUUAGAUUUGUUGCAGACUGGGAUACAAGUUCUAGAACUUUAAUAAAUGAUAAUUAAAUUGAUCUUUUUUCAUUCUCAACGCUAUGAUUUUCAGUUUAUUAUUUUUGAUAUAAAAGAGAUGUGGUGUAUACAUGUCAUCGCCAAUCUCCAAUACCAAUUCUCCAAAACUGAAACGAAGAAAGUUGAUAUUGAUUUAUUAUUUUUAAGAAUUUGAAAAUUUUAGGUAAUGAUUUGGCCGCUAUAGAGCUAAAAUAUGAGUAAAUAUACUUGUUUUAUCUUUUAAGAACCAGUCGAUUAUAUGAUAUGAUGGCACUGAAGCACCAAAUUUCUUGUUUGGAAUGCUCUUUGAUACCACGAUCACUCAAAUAAUAUUAUUAUUUUUUAAAGAAAAAAAUAUUAAAAUGUGACAAACUAUUGAUUCAAUCAACAAAGUCUGUUACAAAUAUAACAUUAGAUUAAUUUUGCAUUUUGGGCCUGUUCAUGGGGAUUGCUAGUUAAUGACAGCAUUACCUAACAACUUUUACUAAAUUACAAGAUCUACCAUUUAUUUAGUUGUUAAAGCUGUUGUCUUUUUUUUUUUUUCUAGUCGUGGCCAUUUAUUUAGUUGUUAAAGCUGUUGUCUGUUAAAGCUGUUGUCUUUUUUUUUUUUUCUAGUCGUGGCCUACUUCUGUCAUGUCAAAAUUCAGUUUGGUUUAGUUAAUGCACGUAGACCACCAAAUCUGUGAAGUAAAAUUGCCACAAAGAAAUACCCACCCGGCAUCUCCACCAUCUAUGCUAGCCAAUCGUUCAUUCACCAUCAGGCGCAAUCUUUGCUACAUUAAUAUUGACAUUUGAUAACAGUAGUACAUGCUUAGCUUAGCAGGUUUUGUUACGUCACUUUUCUUCAAUUAGCUACAGCUUUUUUCACUCGUCUUCACAAAUCACAACUGCAUGGCACUUGCCAUAGCCAUUUUUUCAAAUCGUUAAAAGGAAUUUUGGUGUCUUUUAUUAAAAAUUUAGAGAUCUACAUAACUAUUUUCCAAAUCGUGUAGAUAUCACUUUUCCUUUUGUAUUUUGACAUUCCGUUUGAUUGAAAUUUCUGUAAUACCUUGACUUAUGUGUAUAUAAGUCAUUAUGUUAAGAAUAUAUAAGUUAAUUAUUUUGUUGGGCCUAAACUAAUUCAAAGCCCACACUAACAGUUAAAAAAAGCUGAGCCUAAUAGCCUCUUUAUACAUCACUAAAAAUAAAAAUCUAUUAUUUUGUUGGGCCUGAACUAAAUCAAAGCCCAAACUAAUACUAAUAAAAGCCAAGCGCAUUAGCCUUUAUACACACGCGCGUAUGGGGGCAGAUCAGCAGCCUCCUAAAAUUAUAUCUAUUUUUAUAUUAAUAAAAGAAUAGUACAUGUACCGAGAUGAUGCAACAAUUAGAACGUAAGACUCUUCUUAAAUUAAUAAAUAACUUUGCUAAAAUAAUUUUUUUUUCAUAGUCCCAAAAAAAUAUAUAUAGAGGUUUCUUAGAAUAUUUAGAUAUUAAAAACAAGUAACCAUAGAGAGGUCAAAGUAAAUUUACCUAAAAAAAUUAAGCUUAGCUGUAAUAUGGGACACUAAGAAAUUAGUUUAAACAAACAUCACAUACUAGCAAUGGUCAACAAAAUUUUAUAGCAGACCUAUUAAUUAAUUUAGGAUAAAAUUUAGAAAUUAAUUUUUAGAAAUUAAUUUAGACAAAAUUUCUAAGUUAUUAAUAGGAGUAAACAGUUCUUUGAAAUUAGUAAUAUUAAUACAUUAAGAAAAAACUUAGAUUGUAUUGAAGAAAUAUUAUCAUAUUCCAAUAGUCAAAUUAAGAGAUCCCGUAAUAUAAAAAGAAAUUGCGGAUUUAAAUAUAUUAUUAGAUAUUAAAACUCCUAAACGAACUGAGUUAGAAAUUGGAAUCAUAGUUGAUUUACUAAAAAUAGAAACAGAAAAUAUUACAAAAACACCAAGUAACUUGCAACAACAGUUGGAUUCCGAAGUACAAUACGAAUAGAAUAAGAGAAAUCUUAAUAAAAAAUAUUAUAUGUAAAAUUGAGAAUAUUGAUGAUAAAAUUAAAUAAUAUUAAUAGAAAAAACAAUCAAUCAAAUAAUUAAUUGUCUCCAUUUUAAUUACGAAUUGCGAUAGAUUGAUUGUAAAUCAAUAUAAUAAUUGAUUGACCCAAUCUUUGUUAACAAUCAUUGUUCCUGAAUUAUAUACAUCAAUUACAUCAUUUUCUUUUUCAUAUUUCAAAUACUUAUAUAAAUUAAGCCUUUGUACUCACGAAUUAAUAAGAGUGAAAUUUAUGUUUCCUCAAUAAUUCUCAGAAGUUUUCACUAUUAGGGGCGAGAGAGAGUUUUGUCGGCCAGCACUAUUGAUUUGCAUAUAAGAACAAACGUGUCUGUAAUUACAAAGAAAGAAAAUGAUAAACUUUGCUUCUAGAAUCGCUUCAAAUUCAGAAAAUUCAAUAAGAAUUUUCGGAUUCUUAGUCCAAUACUCUUCUAAUAAAAGUCAAAAGGAUUUUCUGGAGUUGGAUUCAUUUGAUUGGCGGUGGACAAAUGAAGCUCCCACAGCGGCGAGUGAUUAUCUGUGAAGUGAUCUCAAUAAGAAUUAUUAAUCUUUUGGUCGUUAAGAUUCUGAGCAUACUUUAGGAGAAAAAAUUUCUACAUUUUAGUCGGACUAAGCAGUUCUUUGAAACUGGUGAGUGGUUAUGGUAGUAUUAAUAAUUAAGAAAAAACUUAGAUUGUAUUAAAGAAAUAUUAUGAGAUUUCAGCAGUCAAUUUAAGCAAUUCCAUAACCGGAGAAGUCAAAAAGAAGAAAUGGUGGAUUUAAUGAUUAUUCAGUUAUUUUGGGUAUUUUAAUAUCUAAAACAGAUCUUCAAUAUAUAUAUAUAUAUAUAUGAGCACAAAAUAAAUUUAAAAACUGUUGGAUUCUAUAAGUGCAAGACGAAGGCAGUCGGCCAAUCAAUCAAAGUUAAUCGUGAAAAGGACAUCGUGUAGGCUGCUCUAACUCUUCUCUUUUUUUUAUUAAUAUAUUUUCAGAUUUAUAAAAAAAAAAAAAAAAAAAGGAUUGCUCAUUGAGUGCUACGUGUCGGGCGAUUAACUCGCUCGCUCGGGCGGGCGAUUGCUCAGACAACAAUGUCGUCCCAUUAUUAUACCCACUACUCUCAAUGUAUUUACACUCAAAAUACUAUUUAUUUCUCUGUUACAAAAACAAGAAGAUUCAACAAAAUUUAUAACUACUUAUAAUUGUGAUGUCUUCACAGGUCACAGCUGCUGCAAUUGUUAUAGAUUCAUAUGUAAUAAUUGUUAUAGAUUCAUAUGUAAUUGAAAAAAAAAAAAAAAAAAAAACUCAGUAACUACAACUUUGAGUAAUGUAGAUAAUCUAACAAAAAUUUGACAUAAUCCUCCAUAGACCAAGUAUAACAUAUUUGGUUUAUUAAUCUUUCUUUGUUCUCCACUUUCAUGCAAGUAAAAUAUGGCCAUUUGGCCACCUUUUAUGCUUCUCCACAUUUGAACGUGUAUAAUAUUUUGGGCAGCAUUCUUUUGCACCAUCUCAUUUUUUCCAGACUGCAAAAGAUUAUAAAAGAUUCAGUAAGUGAAAAAUAAAAUGUACAUAUUCAACAGCUUUAGCAUAAAACAGGUAAGUAACUGGAUCUCAAUAAGAAUUUUCGAAUUCUUAGUCCAAUACUCUUCUAAUAAAAGUCAAAAGACAGUUGGAUCUACAAGUGCAACACAACAGCCAAUCAAUCACAGCUAAUCAGGUAGAUUGCUCAUUGGGUGCUACGGUUCGGGCGAUUAGCAGCAAGUAUCCAGUUUUCUCGUUUGCUAGCAUCCACAGACAACAGAAUCAUCCCAUUUUUUCAAUAUUAUUUUUCCCACUACUUUAAACAUAUUUACACUCAAAAUAUCAUUUAUUUCUCUGUUAAAGUACUAAAUUACCCCUCUCAUUUUGUUUGUUAAUAAAAAAUUCUGAAAAAUCAUACAACCCAAACUCUUACAAACCAACACUCUCAAUUGUUCAACUGAAACAAUUUCGAUUUAUAAGUUUCAUUGUCCCAAAUGGUUUUUGGAGUACGGUUCUAUUACAAAAAGAAGAACAUCCAACAAAAUUUAUGGCUACUUAUAAUGAAGCAAUUUUGUUCAAAGUACAUUGAUUAUAAAAAUAGUUCUCCUUUGUGCAUUGAACAUUUUUCCAUCGGAGAGCAAAGCCUUGCCUUGAGAACUUCUUUAUAGUUUGAAAGUAUCUAGAAGUCUUAUUGUUUGAACAUAAAUAUACUCCAACCUAUAUCUAUAAAUAAAUGUCAUUUCGACAUUAAUAAUAAAUUAUAACAAUAAAUAAGUAUUUAAAGAAGGUUUUACCAUCAUUAAACAUUGUUAAAUUUAGAACCAACAUCUGAUAAAUAUUCACCAAAAAAAUACUUCAAGGAUUCAUAAUCUUCCUUGUAGCGGUUGAGACUAUAUUUUCAUAUUAAAACUUUCACAUACAAAUGCUCUUCACUCGCGUGGUGCUUUUGAAAGUGAGAACUGAGCCAUGUUUAUAAAAUAUUAUCAUAUUCUUAUAGUCAAAUUAAGAGAUUCCAUAAUAUAAAAAAGAAAUGUUAGAUUUAAUAUAGGGUGAAGAUAUUUGAACCCAUCAAAGUUCUAUUUGCACCCAUACUUUUAAAAAAUAUUUUUGCUGCUAAUAUAUCCCAAAUGUAAAUUAUGAUUUUAGACAUUAGACAAGACGAUAAAACUAAAGAAAAAUAAUUUAAUUCAUAUGCUCUUCUUUCAGGUUUCAACAGCCGCUUAUAUUGUGCUUUCAAUCUCGACUCAUGAAGCCAAACAAAACAAUAAUGUUUAUUGUUAGGCACUUUGAGAUAAGCUUCAAUGUGAAGAAGAAUUAAGUGUCAUGUAGAUUACAAAUUGAAGUUUGUCUGCAAGAUAAAUUUCCUACCAAGACAAGA